CUGGCAUCAACCCUGCUUCUGUGGGUGUACUUUCUGGUUGACGCAGCAUCAGUUUUGACCGGUGGAAAAAGUCCAAGGGAAUGUGGCAUCUCCGGAUGUGUUAUAGCCCUUGGUCGUAUACAUCGGUUGGACUGAGGAAUUCAGCACGCCGCAAGGCCGGGUUUCGACCACGUUCGUGCUUAGGAUGCUGGCAUAAUGGCUUUAAUCGACCCGUCUUGAAACACGGACCAAGGAGUC
This 237-nucleotide ribosomal RNA is filed under the name Coprinopsis cinerea. RNAcentral describes it as "partial large subunit ribosomal RNA". The record is from RNAcentral. Lineage: Eukaryota; Fungi; Basidiomycota; Agaricomycetes; Agaricales; Psathyrellaceae.